CAUUGACAUAAAAACACAAGCUCACUCAGUAGCAGGCACACACACACACACACACACAAGCAAGCCCACUCACGAGCAGGCACGCACACACACAUAGCUUAAUGUAGUGGCUCUGGUGUCUAUAGCCUGUCCCUGCAGGCUUUUCAAUGUAAACACUGACUUUUUAGAGAAAAGGCAGUGUUUACAUUGCUUCCUAGUGACAGACACUCAGACGGUCACUAGAGGUGCUUCCUGUGUCAGUGCGGAUUGGCUG
Pelobates cultripes (western spadefoot toad) is the source of this 253-nucleotide non-coding RNA. Lineage: Eukaryota; Metazoa; Chordata; Amphibia; Anura; Pelobatidae. The record is from the annotation of a GenBank genome assembly.